RNAcentral lists this ribosomal RNA (382 nucleotides) under uncultured eukaryote. Its description in RNAcentral is "partial 18S ribosomal RNA". It matches the Rfam family "Eukaryotic small subunit ribosomal RNA", at positions 592 to 976 of the family's 1831-position model. The record is from RNAcentral.
UGUAAGCGUAUACCAAAGUUGUUGCAGUUAAAACGCUCGUAGUCGGAAUUUGGCAGUUCCGGAUGUGUGCACGUCGUGUGCGCACUUCGCGGGGAUUGCUUUUGUGGUCUUGCGUAGGAUGAGGCACUUUUAUUAGUGAACGUCCUCACGCAACCACUUUUUACUGUGAGAAAAUCAGAGUGCUCAAAGCAGGCAUUUGCCGUGAAUGUAUUAGCAUGGAAUAAUAGAAUAGGACUUGGUUCUAUUUUGUUGGUUUGUUGGGACUGAGUAAUGAUUAAGAGGAACAGUUGGGGGCAUUUGUAUUUCGGCGCUAGAGGUGAAAUUCUUAGAUUGCCGAAAGACAAACUGCUGCGAAAGCGUCUGCCAAGGAUGUUUUCAUUGA